AGAGUUUGAUCCUGGCUCAGAUUGAACGCUGGCGGCAUGCCUAACACAUGCAAGUCGAACGGUAACAGGCCGCAAGGUGCUGACGAGUGGCGGACGGGUGAGUAAUACGUAGGUAUCUGCCCUGUAGUGGGGGAUAACCCGGGGAAACUCGGGCUAAUACCGCAUACGCUCUUUUAUCGUUGAGAUAGGAGAGGAAAGCGAGGGACCGAAAGGCCUCGCGCUAGAGGAUGAGCCUACGCCCGAUUAGCUAGUUGGUAGGGUAAAGGCCUACCAAGGCGACGAUCGGUAGCUGGUCUGAGAGGAUGGCCAGCCACACUGGGACUGAGACACGGCCCAGACUCCUACGGGAGGCAGCAGUGGGGAAUAUUGGACAAUGGGGGAAACCCUGAUCCAGCGAUGCCGCGUGGGUGAAGAAGGCCUGCGGGUUGUAAAGCCCUUUCAGUGGGGAAGAAAAACGGGGUGUGAAAAGCGCUUCGUCUUGACGUUACCCACAGAAGAAGCACCGGCUAACUCCGUGCCAGCAGCCGCGGUAAUACGGAGGGUGCGAGCGUUAAUCGGAAUUACUGGGCGUAAAGGGCGCGUAGGCGGUUAGGUAAGUCGAGUGUGAAAGCCCUGGGCUUAACCUGGGAAUGGCAUUCGAGACUACCUAUCUAGAGUCUGGUAGAGGGAAGUGGAAUUUCCGGUGUAGCGGUGAAAUGUGUAGAUAUCGGAGGGAACACCAGUGGCGAAGGCGACUUCCUGGACCAAGACUGACGCUGAGGCGCGAAAGCGUGGGGAUCAAACAGGAUUAGAUACCCUCGUAGUCC
This 806-nucleotide ribosomal RNA is filed under the name uncultured Chromatiales bacterium. RNAcentral describes it as "bacterial SSU rRNA". It matches the Rfam family "Bacterial small subunit ribosomal RNA", at positions 8 to 796 of the family's 1533-position model. Lineage: Bacteria; Pseudomonadati; Pseudomonadota; Gammaproteobacteria; Chromatiales. The record is from RNAcentral.